Molecule: long non-coding RNA, 1518 nt
Organism: Daphnia pulex (common water flea)
Lineage: Eukaryota; Metazoa; Arthropoda; Branchiopoda; Diplostraca; Daphniidae
Exons: 6
Source: RefSeq, a predicted model, not a curated record
UCUUCUUCGAGCAGCCAGGAAGUACCGCAGUUCCGUCAGCUUAAAAGAGUUAUUGUGCAUUAGAGCGUUGCAUAGACUGUAAAGAUGCCAACUCAGCAUAGCGUUGCAUUAAAGUUUCGUCCAUUAAACUGUGCUUUACUAUGGCGAAUAUUUACCAAUUAUGUCUGUUCACUCCAAGUCUUCUUUUGUCUUUCGAUUGCCCAAUCGUAGGAUCUAUGGCAUACUUGAGCGUCCCGUCACCCAGGUUGAAACAAAGAAGUCAAUGAUCCAAAUGUUAGAAACCACCCAGAACUUCCCUCGUCAUUAACAGUACAAGAAAUGAGCCAUUGUUUGGCCUGCAUGCUGAAAACCUACAGUCCACUGUCGAAGUUAUCUCUGCUUAUGAAGAUAUUUGCCACAAUGAAGAAAAAGUACCUGUACCUGAUGAAGCAAACAGAGUGCCAGCCACAUCUACCUUAGUAAAUGGCCAGACAAAUGUUUCGACUGAAAAGGCAAGAAUUCCAAUGUGGAUCGCAAUUACCUUUAAAAGAAAGUACAAGCUGUAAACAAACUAAUGCUUUGGAGGAUGUAGCUGCUUGUAGGUUUGGCUUGAUGGAGCAUGAAAAGGCUUUAUCAAGAGAGCUAUAUCCAAUCUGAAGUAGAAGGUUCCCAUGAACAGUUAACAAAUGAUCAUUAAGCAACGACGAUGUCUGGAACUUGACGAAGAAAUCGGUCGUCAUUCGUCAAAGUUAAGAAAGGAGACCAGUGCCUGAUGAGAACUUGUCUGAAUAGGAUUAAAAGCUUCUUAAAAGGUCUGAGCCUCUUUGUUGCAGUCCGAUGUGUACAUGAAUUCUGUGCAACCAGCUAGUGAACGAUGCGGUGAGCUGUUGCAUGCAGACUGCAGUGUUCUGGUGUCGUUCGUUCAUUGAACUAUAGACCGUUCAGUCGUUCCUUUAUCGUAAGAAAUCUGACACGGUGUGUAAAAUUGUUUCCACUAGGUGGCAAAGAAGGUCAGCAUUUCGUUCUUGAUGUCGAAGACUAGUGACAUCUUAUUUUGUGCUUCUAAAUAAGUGCUUAAAAAUUGUGUAAGAUUUCCAUGGCCAGUUUGUUGUUUGAGCUGUUUAUGGUGUUGCUGUUUGGGGUGCAGUGGUUUUGCUGUCAUUUUCCAGUUGAAAAAUGCACUGAAAUGAAGCUUGUGCAGACUUGCAGUUCAACAUCACACUUAAAUGUGUCAUUUUUCUAUGUUGGUGUCCGUGCAGUGUUGAUUAGUUGGGUAAAAUAGUCAAAUGUUGCCUGAUGGCUGUCGGGCUUAUUUUGUCGAUAUGUCGUCUCUUGCUACCUGUACCGCGGCGUUGAGUUUAAUCGUUUGUCUGCCGUUCCAUAGACUUGACCCAUUGGUAAAACUGAGGAACCGAGGUUGCUGAAAUUCAAGACUCGUCAAUAAAUUAUGUAGAUGUAGACAAAUUACAAGUGCAUAAUCUGGGCUCCCUUCUUUUCUGUGGCCCCGUUUCCCUAACUAACCACUAACCAACGCCCGCC